AGCUUUGCGCAGUGGCAGUAUCGUAACCAAUGAGGUUUAACCGAGGUGCGAUUAUUGCUAGUGAAAACUUUUCCCCAAUACCCGCCGGGACGUCGUAAAAGACCGACGGCCAGGGCAAUUUUUUGAUAGCCCGGUUUCAGGGC
Molecule: small nuclear RNA, 143 nt
Organism: Penaeus monodon (black tiger shrimp)
Lineage: Eukaryota; Metazoa; Arthropoda; Malacostraca; Decapoda; Penaeidae
Product: U4 spliceosomal RNA
Exons: 1
Source: RefSeq, a predicted model, not a curated record